Molecule: ribosomal RNA, 502 nt
Filed under: uncultured bacterium
Lineage: Bacteria
Description: bacterial SSU rRNA
Rfam family: Bacterial small subunit ribosomal RNA
Source: RNAcentral
CUGGCUCAGGAUGAACGCUGGCGGCGUGCCUAACACAUGCAAGUCGAACGAAGCACUUGUUACGAUCCCUUCGGGGUGACGACUUGUGACUGAGUGGCGGACGGGUGAGUAACGCGUGGGAAACCUGCCCUAUACCGGGGGAUAACAGUUGGAAACGACUGCUAAUACCGCAUAAGCGCACGAGAUGGCAUCAUCUAGUGUGAAAAACUCCGGUGGUAUAGGAUGGUCCCGCGUCUGAUUAGCUAGUUGGUGAGGUAACGGCCCACCAAGGCGACGAUCAGUAGCCGACCUGAGAGGGUGACCGGCCACAUUGGGACUGAGACACGGCCCAAACUCCUACGGGAGGCAGCAGUGGGGAAUAUUGCACAAUGGGCGAAAGCCUGAUGCAGCGAACCGCCGCGUGAGCGAUGAAGUAUUUCGGUAUGUAAAGCUCUAUCAGCAGGGAGGAACAAAUGACGGUACCUGACUAAGAAGCUCCGGCUAAAUACGUGCCAGCCGCCGC